RNAcentral lists this ribosomal RNA (1026 nucleotides) under Triticum aestivum (bread wheat). RNAcentral's name for it is "partial small subunit ribosomal RNA". Lineage: Eukaryota; Viridiplantae; Streptophyta; Magnoliopsida; Poales; Poaceae. The record is from RNAcentral.
AUGCUUUCACAACUUGACUUCAAAAUAUUUGGUUUGGAGACCAUCAAAGAUCAAUAUGUGCAUGAUGCUGAUUUUAAAGAUGUAUUGCAGAAUUGUAAAGAAGGAAGAACCUGGAACAAGUUUGUCGUUAAUGAUGGAUUUGUGUUCCGUGCUAACAAGCUAUGCAUUCCAGCUAGCUCUCUUCGUAUUUUGUUGUUGCAGGAGGCGCAUGGAGGAGGAUUAAUGGGACACUUUGGCGUGAAGAAGACGGAGGACGUACUUGCUACACAUUUCUUUUGGCCAAAGAUGAGACGGGAUGUUGAGCGGGCUGUUUUGAAGAAUAAUAAGAAAAUGUGGGAAGACUGCUUGCCUCAUAUUGAGUUUGCUUAUAAUCGUUCAUUGCAUUCUACUACUAAGAUGUGCCCUUUUGAAAUUGUGUAUGGUUUCCUACCUCGUGCACCUAUUGAUUUGUUGCCUCUUCCAUCUUCGGAGAAGGUUAAUUUUGAUGCUAAACAACGUGCUGAAUUGAUCUUAAAAAUGCAUGAGUUAACUAAGGAAAACAUUGAGCGUAUGAAUGCUAAAUAUAAACUUGCUGGAGAUAAGGGUAGAAAACAUGUUGUGUUUGCACCUGGAGAUCUUGUUUGGUUACAUUUGCGUAAGGAUAGAUUUCCUGAUUUGCGCAAAUCAAAGCUAAUGCCACGUGCUGAUGGUCCUUUUAAGGUGUUAGAGAAAAUAAAUGAUAAUGCAUAUAAACUUGAGCUGCCUGCAGAUUUUGGGAUUAGUCCCACUUUUAAUAUUGCAGAUUUGAAGCCUUAUUUGGGUGAGGAAGAUGAGCUUCCGUCGAGGACGACUUCAUUUCAAGAAGGGGAGGAUGAUGAGGACAUCAAUACAAUUAUUACACCCACAGUCCCUGCUGCUAUACAUACUGGACCAAUUACUAGAGCUCGCGCACGCCAAUUAAAUUACCAGGAAACAGACCCUCGUGGUCAGGUUGAUCGUGCUCCGGCGUGGUCGAUAACCUCUCGGAGUUGGUUUAGCGAUUGCUAA